This 400-nucleotide ribosomal RNA is filed under the name uncultured bacterium. Its description in RNAcentral is "bacterial SSU rRNA". It matches the Rfam family "Bacterial small subunit ribosomal RNA", at positions 362 to 776 of the family's 1533-position model. The record is from RNAcentral.
UAUUGCACAAUGGGGGAAACCCUGAUGCAGCAACGCCGCGUGAGUGAGGAAGUAUUUCGGUAUGUAAAGCUCUGUCAGCAGGGAAGAAAGAAAUGACGGUACCUGACCAAGAAGCCCCGGCUAACUACGUGCCCGACGCCGCGGUAAUACGGAGGGGGCAAGCGUUAUCCGGAAUUACUGGGUGUAAAGGGAGCGUAGACGGUAAUGUAAGUCUGGAGUGAAAGGCGGGGGCCCAACCCCCGGACUGCUCUGGAAACUAUGUUACUAGAGUGCAGGAGAGGUAAGCGGAAUUCCUAGUGUAGCGGUGAAAUGCGUAGAUAUUAGGAGGAACACCAGUGGCGAAGGCGGCUUACUGGACUGUAACUGACGUUGAGGCUCGAAAGCGUGGGGAGCAAACAGG